GAUGAACGCUGGCGGCGUGCUUAACACAUGCAAGUCGAACGGAAAGGCCCAAGCUUGCUUGGGUACUCGAGUGGCGAACGGGUGAGUAACACGUGGGUGAUCUGCCCUGCACUUCGGGAUAAGCCUGGGAAACUGGGUCUAAUACCGGAUAGGACAAUGGUUUGGAUGCCAUUGUGGAAAGUUUUUCGGUGUGGGAUGAGCUCGCGGCCUAUCAGCUUGUUGGUGGGGUAAUGGCCUACCAAGGCGUCGACGGGUAGCCGGCCUGAGAGGGUGUACGGCCACAUUGGGACUGAGAUACGGCCCAGACUCCUACGGGAGGCAGCAGUGGGGAAUAUUGCACAAUGGGCGCAAGCCUGAUGCAGCGACGCCGCGUGGGGGAUGACGGCCUUCGGGUUGUAAACUCCUUUCGCUAGGGACGAAGCGUUAUGUGACGGUACCUGAGAAG
RNAcentral lists this ribosomal RNA (445 nucleotides) under uncultured bacterium. RNAcentral describes it as "bacterial SSU rRNA". It matches the Rfam family "Bacterial small subunit ribosomal RNA", at positions 28 to 487 of the family's 1533-position model. The record is from RNAcentral.